Molecule: ribosomal RNA, 253 nt
Filed under: uncultured bacterium
Lineage: Bacteria
Description: partial 16S ribosomal RNA
Rfam family: Bacterial small subunit ribosomal RNA
Source: RNAcentral
GACGAACCGUCCUAACGUUGUUCGGAAUCACUGGGCUUAAAGGGCGCGUAGGCGGGUUCCCAAGUCGGUGGUAAAAUCUUUCGGCCCAACCGGAAAACAGCCGCCGAUACUGGGAGUCUUGAGGGAGGUAGGGGUCGAUGGAACUUCCGGUGGAGCGGUGAAAUGCGUAGAUAUCGGAAGGAACGCCGGUGGCGAAAGCGAUCGACUGGACCUUUUCUGACGCUGAGGCGCGAAAGCCAGGGGAGCAAACGGG